UGUCUGUUGCAGCUGUUGUCUGUCCUAGCCGCGCUGGCCGUGAUGUACGUCGCGGCCGCCGCGCCGGCAGAAGAUCAGCACGACCUGGCCGCCGAGGAGGCCAGAUACGCCUACGGCUACCGCUACCCCUACUACAGCCGCGCCCGCUACGGCUACGGCCUGGCGCCCCGGUACCCGUACUACCGCGGCUACUACGGCCUGUCGCCGUUCGGGCUCUACUAGACGGCCUGACCGACUCCGUACCCGUUACCGAGUACUCGGUACCGGACCCCACUCCAGGACCGACGGCAACAGCUCCCUGCGCUCUCUGGCCAGUACCCUUCUGCUCACUCUCCGGCCAAUGUAGUGGUGGCCAAUAAAUGCUAGACUGCACGACACAGA
This 381-nucleotide long non-coding RNA is filed under the name Pollicipes pollicipes. RNAcentral's name for it is "uncharacterized LOC119106402". The record is from RNAcentral. Lineage: Eukaryota; Metazoa; Arthropoda; Thecostraca; Pollicipedomorpha; Pollicipedidae.